UUUGAUCCUGGCUCAGGAUGAACGCUGGCGGCGUGCCUAACACAUGCAAGUCGAACGGUCUUCCGGAAAUCUUCGGUUGGGUGGAAGAUAGUGGCGAACGGGUGAGUAACACGUUGGUGACCUGCCCCUGAGAGGGGGAUAACUCCGCGAAAGCGGAGCUAAUACCCCGGAGGGUCUGGACGAUUAGAUUGUUCAGACUAAAGCUCUGAGGCCGUUCAGGGAGGGGCCUGCGGGCUAUCAGCUAGUUGGUGAGGUAACGGCUCACCAAGGCGCAGAUGGCUAGGGGGCGUGAGAGCGUGACCCCCCACAAGGGAACUGAGAAACGGUCCCUACUCCUACGGGAGGCAGCAGUGAGGAAUAUUGAGCAAUGGGCGCAAGCCUGACUCAGCAACGCCGCGUGGACGAUGACGGCCUUCGGGUUGUAAAGUCCUGUUUCAGGGACGACUGAUGAGUGACGGUACUUGAGGAAGAAGUCCCGGCUAACUACGUGCCAGCAGCCGCGGUAAAACGUAGGGGGCGAGCGUUAUCCGGAUUUACUGGGCGUAAAGCGCAUGUAGGCGGUCGGAUAAGUUAGACGUGAAAGCUCCCGGCUUAACUGGGAGAGUGCGUUUGAAACUGUCCGACUGGAGGUUGGGAGAGGAGAGUGGAAUUCCCGGUGUAGUGGUGGAAUGCGUAGAUAUCGGGAGGAACACCAGUGGCGAAAGCGGCUCUCUGGACCAAACCUGACGCUGAGAUGCGAAAGCGUGGGGAGCAAACGGGAUUAGAUACCCCGGUAGUCCACGCUGUAAACGAUGGAGACUAGGUGUCGGCGGCAUUUACCCCGUCGGUGCCGCA
This 834-nucleotide ribosomal RNA is filed under the name uncultured bacterium. Its description in RNAcentral is "bacterial SSU rRNA". It matches the Rfam family "Bacterial small subunit ribosomal RNA", at positions 12 to 850 of the family's 1533-position model. The record is from RNAcentral.